AACGAACGCUGGCGGCAGGCUUAACACAUGCAAGUCGAACGCAUGCCUUCGGGCAUGAGUGGCAGACGGGUGAGUAACGCGUGGGAACCUACCCCUUGGUACGGGAUAGCUCCGGGAAACUGGAGAUAAUACCGUAUGUGUCCUGAGGGACAAAGAUUCAUCGCCAAGGGAUGGGCCCGCGUCGGAUUAGCUAGUUGGUGGGGUAACGGCCUACCAAGGCGACGAUCCGUAGCUGGUCUAAGAGGAUGAUCAGCCGCAUUGGGACUGAGACACGGCCCAAACUCCUACGGGAGGCAGCAGUGGGGAAUAUUGGACAAUGGGCGCAAGCCUGAUCCAGCCAUGCCGCGUGAGUGAUGAAGGCCCUAGGGUUGUAAAGCUCUUUCACCGGUGACGAUAAUGACGGUAACCGGAGAAGAAGCCCCGGCUAACUUCGUG
RNAcentral lists this ribosomal RNA (435 nucleotides) under uncultured bacterium. Its description in RNAcentral is "partial 16S ribosomal RNA". It matches the Rfam family "Bacterial small subunit ribosomal RNA", at positions 29 to 507 of the family's 1533-position model. The record is from RNAcentral.